Molecule: long non-coding RNA, 5501 nt
Filed under: Gallus gallus (chicken)
Lineage: Eukaryota; Metazoa; Chordata; Aves; Galliformes; Phasianidae
Description: lncRNA (ENSGALG00010020534.1)
Source: RNAcentral
CCUGAACCAAUGGGUGGGCUCUGUGAGUGUGUGAGUGCGGCGGCGCGGCGGUACGAACGGGGGAGGGACACAUUCCUCAGCUCGGCUCGGUCUGCGCGCUGCUACCGGGAGGGGUUACUUGCGUGUUUUAAGGAUGAGAGUCUGGAAAGAUUCCCAGUUUGCUUCAUUUGAACACCGCUGUAAUUACAGUUUCACUGCUGGCCUUCAGCAGAAUUGAGCAUCUCAUCUCUUGGAAAGGAACACACACAGGAAAACAAACAAAAGUGCUUACCAGCUGGUGCUGGGUGAAUUGCACUGUUUGAAGUUCAAGGAUAUUGAGAAUAGUAUUUGGUAUUUAUGUGGCUGCUCGGCAUGUGACCUUUUAUAAUGCUACUCAUACUUGUAUUCAUAUAUAUAUUUAUAUAUAAACAUAUAUUUAUAUAAAGAUAUAUAAAUGAUAAAUAUAUAUAUUUAUAUAUGCUUGUGUAGCUUCUCUCUUGAUGAAGAAGCUUGGUUUCUCAAAUCUUUCUUGAUCCCUCCAGAUAAAUUUCUUGUUCCCCUUUAGCAAAUGGGAGAUGUAUGAUGACUCUGAGAUGUAUGGUUUGCUUUUCUGCUGCCAGCUCUUGGUUCCCACUACUAGAUAUUCCUACCUCCUAUCUGUUCCUUCUAUUCUCCCCUCCAUCGCCCAGCAAAUGGCUUCAGACAUUGUACGCUGAGGGUACAGAGAAAGCUUUGGUCUCACCCUGUUGUUCUAACUUGGUUAUGUCACAACUUCCUCCAUGAACCACUAGGUCAGUUUGCAACAUGGAAAUGGUGGCUAUGCUGAAAGAAAGCUUUAAAAGUUAGUGUGGGUGAAUACUUCUUCCCCAUAGCUGUGAAGAUGUGGAUCCCUGAUGUCUACUGAACUGGACAGGCAACAGAGUCCCCUUCAGUUUUCUCCAGGAUUUAUCCUCCAAGAGCGUGGCUUUUACUGAGUUGCAUUGCAGGGAGUUAAUUAACUUUGCAAAGCAAACAGCGCCACUAUAAGCUUGUAGGUCUGUGCUGAAAUUUCUGUAGUCUGUCCUUUAUAUGUUCAUGGAGGGCAUUGUGAACUUGCUGAAGAAGCAGCACAGUUUUUGUGAGGGUAUUACUUGCCCUCUUAUCAAAUCUGGAAUAGGCUUAGGUACCUACAGCAGCUCAGAGGAGUUAGGCAACAAGUGUUUUCCUACAGUGAGAAAAGUCUUGCAUUUGAGGGCAAAUAUCUUCCAAUUUGGCUUUGUUCUUUUUCAGAUAUUAAUCAUUUCCAUCAGCUUAAGAUUCAUCAAGGAAGUGAAUGACGAGAUGCCUAAAUAAUGCACAACCUUGGAAGGUCUUGCCACGUGAUUUAUAGAAAUGCUGUAAUAGUGCACGUAUUAUGCUAAGCGUUAGGAAGCUCUGUCAAGCACCCACACUUAACAGGCUGUGUUUCUAUUCCUGUUUUCUUCUGCUCCGUGUAUUUUUCUUUGCUCCGGACAUCCUGGAUGGCAAAUGUACAGGCAUAAAAAAUAAUAAUAAUAAUAAUCUUAUGGUAAUUCUGUCCUAUAAUAUUUGACUUGUAUCCAUGUGCAAAGAACAGCAUCAUUUCAUUUCCAACUUAUUGAUGCUCGCGUAUCUGUUAUCAGAAGUGCUGGAGUUGGAUGUAUGAAGUACCUGGCUGUCAUUUCUGGCUGUUACCUAGGAACAUCACUCAAUUUCCAGUGCUCUCUCUCCCCUUUUGCCCACCGAGUCCCGAGAUGUGGUGAUGGGCAGCCUGCCUGGAACAGCUCAGAACAGGGAUGUGGAGACCACAGCAGCAAGCCACUCCCAGCUCUGUAUACCAGCUAGUUUGGGUAUGUCUCUGCUGAGCAAGGGAGGAAGUUGCGUGAGCUUAACAGGGUUCUGGUAGUGUUGUUUUUUGUCAACAGUGGAUUAAUGAGACAUUGCAACUGCAGCCCUGCUGAUGGAUCUGAGAGCAGUGAUGUCUGGCAUGUAGCGGUGGUGAGCUGAUGGAGUUGGUUACCCCUUUGGCACGUACAGCUGUCCUUGGUGUAGGAAGCAUGACAGCCUUUAAUACUACCAUAAAGACCUUUUUGGGAUCUAUGUACCUCUAGGUGUUGUUGACAGCUGGCCUUUACAAACUGGUCACCAUCAUCAAACCUUGUUAAGGUUAGUUUUAGAAGUGCUCAGUUGCCUUGUAGUCAUUCCUAGGUUUUAGAUAUGAAGAAGUGCUUGAAAUGAAAAGACUAAAGAGUGCAUAGGUUGGUGUUAUUCAAAAGUCUGCUUGCUGAUGGGGAAUCACUUGGAGAGCCUCGCUCAGUAGUACUCUAAGCAGUCUUGCGCUUAUGUCUACACUGAAAUACUUGUCCUCAUCCAGCACCCUUAACACUGUGUAGUGCAUUCAACACCUACAAGUGUCUGCAAGACUAAUAUCCCUCAGUCAACAAUUCUAGCGAGUCUGUUCAGUCAUUUCUAGAAGAUUGUUUAAUAAAUAUGGAUAGAGUCUGCUGUGCUUCUAGUUUCAGCGUCUGGAUUUAGAUACCUUCAUCAUAGUACCACAACACCUUAUUAGGUGGUGAUAAAUACUGUAAUCGAGGGGAUAUUCAUUCAUGUCAGUUUUGAAGGAUGAACAGCUUGCUUUCUAGCUAUUAAAUACAAACAAACACAGUUGAAGUCUCUCGUGUUAAAACUUUGGCUGUGUGCGAACUUUCCUUCCUUCAGCUAUCCCAGCUCACAGCUUAUGAGCAAAUGCCAAUUCCCACAGAGGUGGUGCAAGGAAGGGAUAUGCUGUACUGAACAUGCACUUCUCUGAAAGUAACCGUAAUGGAAAAUACUUCACAUGGUACAAUCUAGUACGGAAUACAGCAUUUAAAUUCAUUUCCCCAUUCCUGAGUUCCAGAACUUGUCUAGAGCACAGUGUAUUACUCUUCUGGUUUACUUUUCCAUGUCCUUCCCACAAGGAUCAAUUGUACAGAGGAGAUAAGGUACACCAAGAAUCUGCUUUUAAUGCUUGACUUUUUCUACUCUGUAGAUGUGGGGAGAGGAAGAGGCUUUUCAGGAGAAAUGUUACAAAAUACUGAAAAGCUAUUUCUUCAAUUUGCCAACCCUGUAUUUCUCACUUGCACUGUUCGUAGUCCCUAUAGCUUGUGCUUUGUGUUGGCGGACUUCAUUAGACAUAAGAACACAAGGGAAUGAAUAUAUAUUUAAAAAAAAAAAAAGAAUGGCUGAAAAGAACAAAUAUCUCUUGGCUCCUGUAGGUGUGUUCAAACCAUCUGCUGCUCACGUUUAUCAGUGCUGAAGGUUGCAGUCAAAGUCAAUUUGGUGAAUAAAGUUCAGGCUAGAGAUUGCUGUGGGGUAAAACGAUCUUCAUUUGUUACUGACCAGUGCCUUUGGUAUUCUGUAGCUGCCACAAUACAAUUAAUGAGGUGUCAGUGGUAAGAUUUAACCUGUAAGCUACCUUUAGGUUUCAUGUGUAAAGCUGAUAAUACGGUAUCAGCAGUAUGAACAAGGCAGCUCAGCUGGUGUCUAAGCAAAAGUGGGUUGAAUAUGAGAGAUGCAAACUUCUGUCUGCAAGCUCCUGCUGCACUCAGAGCUCAGCAGGAGCUGAGACCACCUUCAUCCUUUCAUGGCAAGAUUUCUGUGUUGUUUGAAACACCUACUGAAUAGCAAAAAGUGGAAAGGAAGCAGUGGGUCACUGAUCCUGACUGAUUUCAAGGACCAAAUACUUCAUUGUAACUCCGGAAAGAACACUGACCUGCAAGCUGAAAACUUUAUGGACUCCAUUUUCCUAGAACAAGAAGUACCAGCAGAACAGCCAAACCAAAAUAAAUAACUUAUUUUUUCCUUCCUUCCCAAGUACCUUGUUACUGGAAGAAUCAAUAUUCUAUUCUAUUCCUGACUCUUAUUGGAUUUUUAUAAAUACAUAUUCCUAUAUAACUUUAAGCCAACAAUAGAACGAAGCCAUAGCUCAUCAGUUGCAUUUAUAACUGCUUCUGAGAUGUAUGAAAAUGAACUGAAGUUAGUAAAUUGCUUGGAGAUUCUUGGGUGCAGUUCCUUAUUUUGCUCCCCAUGUUUCUGUUGUAGCAGUUGUCAGCUGCUCUCAGAAGCACGUAGAUCCGGUGUACAGCUCUGCACUACUUUGGGGAUGAAUCAAAAGAUGACUUUUCAAAUGUUCUUGAAGUCCAUUGUUUGCACAAGAAACAGUCCUCUGCACCGCUGCUCAAUGAGCUGUCAGGAAAAUUACUACACAGAUAAUAAAUUAUAAAGAUCUGUCACAAAAUGCAGCAUGCUUGAAUAAUUUUCAAAACUAUUAAUAAAUCCCGAGUAGUUGAAACAACUGUCUCUGUUCUUUCUCACCAGAGACAGCUGAUUGAAAUGUAGUCAGCACUGAACGGCUUGACAUGGUUGAGCUCCACUCAGAUACGGGCACAUGACUGAAAAAGAGGGAAGAGGAAACUUGAGGUUCUAGUGGUUUCAUUUCUUGGAAGUUUAAACUCGGGUUUCAGCACACGGCAUUUCCACUGUUUGGGCAGAAAAAUGGCCAGGGACAAUUCUUGACCUAUGAGCUGAAUCACAAUGAGCGGAAGGUAUGUGUUUUUCAGGAUGAGUUAUUGAAGUUAAAAGUGAGUAUUCAAGUCAUAUCUGAUUACCAUUGUUCAUAUUCUAAUCCCGAACUACCAACAAGUCUCAGUGUCCUUAAGUUUUGAGUAUGUUUGUGUAGUUACACAGUGACUUACACCUUGCAGCCUGCUUGGUUUGCAUUCUGGGUAUGGCUUAAUGUUCAUGGUCACGGAGAGCAAGCACGCCCUUGGUCCUGCUCCAAAUUCUGCCCAUAAACCAGGUGCUCAGCUGUGGUUUAGAGACCUGUAAUUCUGUGCUGGGGUCACCAGGACUUCUUGGUUGCAAUUGUUCAACUCUGUAAUAAGAGAAAUAAAACCAACAAAUGUCGCUAUGUGUUUUUGAAACGCCUUCAUCGGUUGUGUACCCGAAGGUUUUUGCCCUAGGCUAACAAAUGUCAAAGCAAUCUGUUGGGUAAACUUCUGCAAACAAGUCGGUGUUGAAUAACAGGGUUCAGACAAUUGCUUAGACGUAGGCUAAAGAGAUCUGCAGAGCUUCUUGGUGGUGACCAGUGGUCAUGGCAAUGAACGCCUUGUACUUGUAGAUGGGACAGGAGACAUUUAGAGGAGUAACAACCAAUCAAAGCUUUGAACUCCAAAACCUUGUAUUACUACACGCAAUACCUGUAAGGUCAGGGGAAAGGGUGUUUUAAUGCGAAUGGAAGGACUACUUUUUCAUGUGAUUGGGUCUCCUUGGGUCUGAUGCUCCUUCCGAUUUCCUUCCUUGUGGCCCUGGAAGACGUGCUGUAGGAAGCAGUCUACGCAGAGAGGUGGUCUGGAUGUUAAUGCCUUACUUGUUGCACCUCUGAAAGAUUGCUGAAUCUGUGGCUUUGUGUUGCUCUACUCUGGACAAGGUUUGUUAGCAACCAAUUAAGUUAUAUUUUUCCAGUAGUUGUACUGCAAGGAAAGAAA